This is a non-coding RNA of Schizosaccharomyces pombe (fission yeast), 233 nucleotides long. NCBI's taxonomy places the organism in Eukaryota, Fungi, Ascomycota, Schizosaccharomycetes, Schizosaccharomycetales, Schizosaccharomycetaceae. The record is from the annotation of a GenBank genome assembly.
ACAGAUUCAUACAUCGACAACUCGGACAUUAGCCUGUGCUUUCUAGUUUUUUUUUCACUGAAAUACCAUGGAAUUAAGUAGAAGACAAAUGUACCCGUGUUGAUAUAAGUGAUUAAGAAAGGACUAAAAAAGUUAUCAUCGUCUAAUAGGCUGCUUGUGAGAAAAGAACUGAUGAGCCAUAAAAAGACGACAAACAAUAAAAGAACAACGCCUAGUGCAUGUUUCCCAAUAGC